CGGUGCCCAACUGCGCGCU
Molecule: small nuclear RNA, 19 nt
Filed under: Arabidopsis thaliana (thale cress)
Lineage: Eukaryota; Viridiplantae; Streptophyta; Magnoliopsida; Brassicales; Brassicaceae
Description: snRNA_00872
Source: RNAcentral